RNAcentral lists this long non-coding RNA (1723 nucleotides) under Mytilus galloprovincialis (Mediterranean mussel). The record is from RNAcentral. Lineage: Eukaryota; Metazoa; Mollusca; Bivalvia; Mytilida; Mytilidae.
UUUAUUCUUGGUAACAAAAAUAUUAUAAUAUGAGGUUAAAAAUAUGUAACACAAGCAAAAAAACAAAAUUAAAAUAUAAAACAAAAAUAUUACAGGUACAAAUAUCAGAUCAGCUGAUCUUAAAACAAAAACUAUAAAAACAAAUGACCAGAUUGUAUAUAGACACAUUAUUUUUAUAAAUUGAAUCAAAAACUUCAAAGAGGACUAAAUAAUAUCUACUAAAUAUAUCAAAUGGUUUUGAAGUGAUCAUGUAGACUUUAAGACAUUACUUACAGAAUAUAUUUCAUUAACAAAAUUCUGAAAAUUAAUGCAAAAUUCCAUGACAAGGUUAGCCCUGGAUUCUGCUGGAUUUCAAAUCUUAUAUGGGAAUAGAUACUAGAAAAAAUAAUAACGUUAAAGAAACCUAAAGGAUUCAAAUUUAAUGUGUUCAUCACCAAAUGAUUUUUUAUGGUUUAAAAAAAACGAAAAAUUAUAAGUGGGGCAAUUUUUUUCAUUUGACAAGUCGCAAGUCUGCAAUAUACAAUAUCGUUAGCUACUGAGAAUUUGUAAUUAUUUCAGAUUCUGGGAGAACAGCUUUAAUAUGAGAACAUUUAGAUUAAUUUCUUAUUAUUAAUAUCCUUAACACUUUGGACAAGCCUGUUAAACGUCAACAUUAAUAAUUAGAAAAAUAAAGUGCUAUUGUAUAUACAAUAUGAUCUUUUUGGCAGAUUAUGUUCGGGAGAGGAUCAAUUUCACCAUUGUCUGAAUACAUUAAGAAGUUAAAAUAAUAAAUGCAACAAUGAUAUAAAGGGUAACCAACAUAUCAAAUACCCGUAAAAACUAGUACAGGAUUAAACAUCUAUUAUAAAGCAUUUUAAUACUGACUGAUAUUAUAUAACAAAGUGAUGAUACCCCUUUGAUGUUUAGAGGGUUCAAAAGGUCACCUGAUCAAAUAUUUGACCAUAAUAAUUAAGGCAAGUACAUUCUAUAAAUUACUACAUAUGGUGCUUUGCAUCAUUUUUAAUAACACAGUUUAUAAAAGUAAUCAUUUGGUUAAUGCCCACAAAGCAAGCAUCUAGCUUGGGAGAAGAAAAAAAAUGUCCAGGUUGUUCUGUCAGUUGUAACUGUUUUAUUUUCGUGUCUCUGAUUAUGUCGCUUCUUGAAGAUGAAUCAAACAUAAGGAAUUAUUUUUGUGAAUUAAAUCAAAAUAAUGCCCUCAUCAUAAUUUCUCACUUUACCUUUCUGUAAAUUCAAAAAUUACUGCGUGCAUUUUUUAUGGCGAUUUUUGAAGAAUUGACAAUAAUGCAAGAUUAUUUAUUGCGAUUUCAGAUAAAGCUACAUGCAGAUGUAUGCAUCAGAUAUCAGAAUAUGAGUUCUUACUUUUGCGCUGCUCAAACAGUCGCAAUAUUCAGAUUAAUUAAAACCUCACAAUAAUUUCUGAAUUUACAGUAUCUAAAUACAUAUAGUGUAUAUGUACAUUUUAUACAGUUAUAUAUAUCUUGCCUCUACAAAACAGAUAACAAAAAUAACUAAGAAACACAUACAUGUACAUUUUACAGUUAUUUAUCUUGCCUCUACAAAACAGAUAACAAAAAUAACUAAGAAACACAUACAUGUACAUUUUACAGUUAUUUAUCUUGCCUCUACAAAACAGAUAACAAAAAUAACUAAGAAACACAUACAUGUACAUUUUACAGUUAUUUAUCUUGCCUCUACAAAACAGAUAACAAAAAUAACUAAGAAA